Molecule: transfer RNA, 72 nt
Filed under: Fukomys damarensis (Damara mole-rat)
Lineage: Eukaryota; Metazoa; Chordata; Mammalia; Rodentia; Bathyergidae
Rfam family: tRNA
About the family: Transfer RNA (tRNA) molecules are approximately 80 nucleotides in length. Their secondary structure includes four short double-helical elements and three loops (D, anti-codon, and T loops).
Source: Rfam by way of RNAcentral
GGCUGUGUAGCUCAGUGGUACAGUGCUUGCCUGGCAAACAUGAUGCCCCAGCUUCAAUCCCUAGCACUACUA